UGGCAGAAUAGAUGUUUGAAACCCAUAA
Molecule: non-coding RNA, 28 nt
Filed under: Mus musculus (house mouse)
Lineage: Eukaryota; Metazoa; Chordata; Mammalia; Rodentia; Muridae
Source: RNAcentral